Molecule: unclassified non-coding RNA, 1771 nt
Filed under: Amphimedon queenslandica
Lineage: Eukaryota; Metazoa; Porifera; Demospongiae; Haplosclerida; Niphatidae
Description: paraspeckle component 1-like, transcript variant X2
Source: RNAcentral
UUUUAACCACGUGUCUUCCUUCCUGUCCAAGAAGAUGUCCUCUCAUAAGAAUAAUGGUCAGAAAAUGAAACAGAGACACUCUCCAUACUCCACGGGGACCUGGAAAGAAAGAAAGCAAGGACUGAUUCCUCCUCCUCCUAACCAGAACCCCUCUGGCCCCCCUGAGAGUGACCUGCCCCCGGGGGGAGGGUACAAUAAUGAGUCAUUAUCUAAUGACUAUAUUCCUGACCCUGAGGGGGGUCGUAGAGAAAAGAAGUUUGGUAAUCGUGCCCGAGUGUAUAUUGGUAAUCUGCCCCGAGGGAUGACUGAGGAAGAGUUGAUGGAGCUAUUCUCACCUCAUGGUGAGGUCUCACGGGUUUAUCUUGAGAAGGAAAAGAACUUUGGGUUCGCCCGAAUGGCGUAUCGAGAUCAAGCCAUGAAGGCUAUCAGUUCAUUGAAUGGUAUUAAUCUCAAGGGGAGGGAGCUGAGGGUUCGGUUUGCUGCUAGCAGCUGUUCAGUAAAAGUGUCCAAUCUCCACCCGACAGUGUCCAAUGAGUUGUUGUUCAAUGCUUUUGGUACGUUUGGAGAAGUGGAACACGCCGUCGUAGUGACUGAUGAAAGGGGGAAGUCCCUCGGUCAUGGCUUUGUUGAUUUUGCUAAGAAAACUCAAGCAAUGGCCGCCAUUGACCGGUGUAGACAAGGAGUCUUCCUCUUGACAAAGUCUCCAGUCCCAGUGGUGGUGAGUGAGUUAGUGCGUGAGAAUGAAGAUGACGGAUUAGCUGAAAGGGACAUCAACAAAUCAGCUCAAUAUCACUAUGAGCGUGAUUCUAUUCCAAGGAUGGCAGUACCAGGUACUCCUGAGUUUGAUUUUGGUAUGAGGUUCAAGGAGCUAUAUGAUAAUGAGCAAAGGUCGAAGGAGCAACUUGAUAAAACACUAAAGGAGACGAGGGAGAGGCUGGAGGCUGAGAUGGAGCAAUUCAAGCAUCAUGAACAUGCCAAUGUUCUUAGACUACAAUUGGCCGAAUAUCAAAAAGAACAGGAACUGAUACAGCAAAGGCUUCAUCGUCACGAGCAAUUUAUUCGUGGACCCCCACCUCCAGGGGGCCCCCCUCUACACAUAUUGCCCCCUCCGCCCCCUCACAUGAUGCCAGGACAACCUCUAUUGCCCCCCGGCCCCCCUAGACCUCCUCAGCCACCCCAGCCAUUAUUGGCCAUUAAUGACACGCCCCCCAGGGGGCCGGUACCUCCUAAUCCAUUAAUAGCUAGACCGGCCCAUGGUCCCCCCAGUGUACCUGGUAAUGUACCAACGUUCCUGUUACCAUCGCCAGGAGGACAGAACAUCAUCAGUGUCCAUUAGUCCUCAUAUGUUGUUUGAGAUUAAAGUCCAUUACUCAUGAUUUAAAGUGUUUUAAAUUUCCUUCAGUGCUAACAUUCCUGUGGCUAACAGCUAUAAUCAUAUUAUUUGUAUAGUAGUAUCUACAUCAGACUUUACUAUGAUUGGACUGUCUCGUAUUUCCUUUAAAAAGUGUUUUUGAAGUUGCUAAUACUACUGACCUGACCUCAGGUGUAUAUUGUAUAAAGUCAUCAGGAGGUGUGUGUGUUGGUCAUGUACUAGUAUCAUGUACAGGAGAUGAAACUGUUGCUGUAUUGUUUACUGUAAAUAAUGAUUCUUCUAUUGCCAAAAACUGAUCAAUUACUAGUAAUAAUUAAUUCUGUUUAUUCUUUUUUUAAUGUCUACAACUUGAGUGGAGCAUCCAUUCCACUGGCAGCAGCUGUUGCUGUUUUUAAAGUA